GACACAGUGGUGAAUUGGUAAAUGCUGUCGCCUAACAUCAAUUAGCCCCAUAUCUCUAAAAACGGUUGUCCUAGGGCUUGCGGGUUCGAGUGCCGUCUGUGUCG
This is a non-coding RNA of Podospora appendiculata, 104 nucleotides long. NCBI's taxonomy places the organism in Eukaryota, Fungi, Ascomycota, Sordariomycetes, Sordariales, Podosporaceae. The record is from the annotation of a GenBank genome assembly.